UAGAUAGGCGUAGGCGAUCCUUUAGGUGCGGAAGCUACACACGCUCUUGCAGCAAGUAUGGGCGGCAUGCGUACAGCCGGAGAUCUGGUUA
RNAcentral lists this non-coding RNA (91 nucleotides) under human gut metagenome. RNAcentral describes it as "Pyrrolysine insertion sequence mtbB". It matches the Rfam family "Pyrrolysine insertion sequence mtbB". The record is from RNAcentral.